AAAUUGAAGAGUUUGAUCAUGGCUCAGAUUGAACGCUGGCGGCAGGCCUAACACAUGCAAGUCGAACGGUAACAGAAAGCAGCUUGCUGCUUUGCUGACGAGUGGCGGACGGGUGAGUAAUGUCUGGGAAACUGCCUGAUGGAGGGGGAUAACUACUGGAAACGGUAGCUAAUACCGCAUAACGUCGCAAGACCAAAGAGGGGGACCUUCGGGCCUCUUGCCAUCGGAUGUGCCCAGAUGGGAUUAGCUUGUUGGUGGGGUAACGGCUCACCAAGGCGACGAUCCCUAGCUGGUCUGAGAGGAUGACCAGCCACACUGGAACUGAGACACGGUCCAGACUCCUACGGGAGGCAGCAGUGGGGAAUAUUGCACAAUGGGCGCAAGCCUGAUGCAGCCAUGCCGCGUGUAUGAAGAAGGCCUUCGGGUUGUAAAGUACUUUCAGCGGGGAGGAAGGGAGUAAAGUUAAUACCUUUGCUCAUUGACGUUACCCGCAGAAGAAGCACCGGCUAACUCCGUGCCAGCAGCCGCGGUAAUACGGAGGGUGCAAGCGUUAAUCGGAAUUACUGGGCGUAAAGCGCACGCAGGCGGUUUGUUAAGUCAGAUGUGAAAUCCCCGGGCUCAACCUGGGAACUGCAUCUGAUACUGGCAAGCUUGAGUCUCGUAGAGGGGGGUAGAAUUCCAGGUGUAGCGGUGAAAUGCGUAGAGAUCUGGAGGAAUACCGGUGGCGAAGGCGGCCCCCUGGACGAAGACUGACGCUCAGGUGCGAAAGCGUGGGGAGCAAACAGGAUUAGAUACCCUGGUAGUCCACGCCGUAAACGAUGUCGACUUGGAGGUUGUGCCCUUGAGGCGUGGCUUCCGGAGCUAACGCGUUAAGUCGACCGCCUGGGGAGUACGGCCGCAAGGUUAAAACUCAAAUGAAUUGACGGGGGCCCGCACAAGCGGUGGAGCAUGUGGUUUAAUUCGAUGCAACGCGAAGAACCUUACCUGGUCUUGACAUCCACAGAACUUUCCAGAGAUGGAUUGGUGCCUUCGGGAACUGUGAGACAGGUGCUGCAUGGCUGUCGUCAGCUCGUGUUGUGAAAUGUUGGGUUAAGUCCCGCAACGAGCGCAACCCUUAUCCUUUGUUGCCAGCGGUCCGGCCGGGAACUCAAAGGAGACUGCCAGUGAUAAACUGGAGGAAGGUGGGGAUGACGUCAAGUCAUCAUGGCCCUUACGACCAGGGCUACACACGUGCUACAAUGGCGCAUACAAAGAGAAGCGACCUCGCGAGAGCAAGCGGACCUCAUAAAGUGCGUCGUAGUCCGGAUUGGAGUCUGCAACUCGACUCCAUGAAGUCGGAAUCGCUAGUAAUCGUGGAUCAGAAUGCCACGGUGAAUACGUUCCCGGGCCUUGUACACACCGCCCGUCACACCAUGGGAGUGGGUUGCAAAAGAAGUAGGUAGCUUAACCUUCGGGAGGGCGCUUACCACUUUGUGAUUCAUGACUGGGGUGAAGUCGUAACAAGGUAACCGUAGGGGAACCUGCGGUUGGAUCACCUCCUUA
This 1542-nucleotide ribosomal RNA is filed under the name Escherichia coli. RNAcentral's name for it is "bacterial SSU rRNA". It matches the Rfam family "Bacterial small subunit ribosomal RNA". The record is from RNAcentral. RNAcentral also lists the same sequence under 10 other names. Lineage: Bacteria; Pseudomonadati; Pseudomonadota; Gammaproteobacteria; Enterobacterales; Enterobacteriaceae.